CACAUCACGUUGAAAUAUCGGUCCCCAUAUGAUCACCGAAUUUAAGCAACGUCGAGCCUGGUUAUUACCUAAAUGGGUGACAACUUGGGAAUACCAGGCGCUGUAA
Non-coding RNA from Acanthosepion pharaonis, 106 nucleotides. NCBI's taxonomy places the organism in Eukaryota, Metazoa, Mollusca, Cephalopoda, Sepiida, Sepiidae. The record is from the annotation of a GenBank genome assembly.